UACGUAGGGUGCGAGCGUUAAUCGGAAUUACUGGGCGUAAAGUGUGCGCAGGCGGCCGAGCAAGUCGAGUGUGAAAGCCCCGAGCUUAACUUGGGAAUUGCGCUCGAAACUACUUGGCUGGAGUGUGGCAGAGGGAGGUGGAAUUCCACGUGUAGCGGUGAAAUGCGUAGAUAUGUGGAGGAACACCGAUGGCGAAGGCAGCCUCCUGGGCCAACACUGACGCUCAUGCACGAAAGCGUGGGGAGCAAACAGG
Molecule: unclassified non-coding RNA, 253 nt
Filed under: uncultured Gammaproteobacteria bacterium
Lineage: Bacteria; Pseudomonadati; Pseudomonadota; Gammaproteobacteria
Description: contains 16S-23S intergenic spacer region
Rfam family: Bacterial small subunit ribosomal RNA
Source: RNAcentral